RNAcentral lists this long non-coding RNA (216 nucleotides) under Monodelphis domestica (gray short-tailed opossum). RNAcentral describes it as "lncRNA (ENSMODG00000044639.1)". The record is from RNAcentral. Lineage: Eukaryota; Metazoa; Chordata; Mammalia; Didelphimorphia; Didelphidae.
AAGGAGCAACGUCGAGUCUGAUGAAGGGAGAAGACUUGGAAGGUAGAAUAUCGGUGCUGGAAUAGAGAAGCCCCUAAGCCAAGCUUUCUCGUUUUACAGCAGCCCUCCCCCUGUGAGGGGCAAUGGAUUUACCCUUUUGCCUGGAGACCCAGAGAUAGCUGGCUCCUGAGGGGUUAAGAACAAGUCCUGGAGGGGAUAACCCAGCAAAGUGAAGCC